AAAAGUAAGCAAGUAAAAAUUAAGAAAUUCUUUCACACUAAACAUCAAGCAAGACAAACGAAACUCCUAAUCAAUCUUAACACAUGAAAACUAAAACACGAUUAAGAACAUCUAAACAGAAAAUAUAGAAAUUAAAUAGAAUAAAGCUAAGAAUAGAUUUUACCUUAAUCUGAAAGAAUGAAAUUUCAGGUCUAAACCUUCGAUGAGAACAGUGUCCUCUCAACUUCGAUUCGCAAUGAAAACAGGAGAAUGAGAGGGCUAUUUCUAGGGUUCGAAAUUUUUGAUAAAAUAUACCCAAAUCAAUGUGGGAUUCGUCAGAUUUUUCGUACGAAAUAGUACCAAGAUCAAACGGAUUUUUGAAAGGGAUUUGAGAAAUUGCAGGGUGUGGCUUGAUUCCGGAACGGAUACUCGUAUAAGGCACGUGAACUGAACGAAUGAGGGGGAAGACAGGCUGAGCGUCGUCGUUUGAAAUGGAUUCUGUUCUUGUUGGUGGAGUUUACGAGGAAGAAGAAGUAGAGAAAGAGGUGCAUCUGGGGCCUUUCGUGCGUUCUUAUGAGGGGAAAAAGAGAGGGGAGCUGAGGCGC
This 584-nucleotide long non-coding RNA is filed under the name Solanum tuberosum (potato). RNAcentral describes it as "long non-coding RNA (STUB_LNC000790)". Lineage: Eukaryota; Viridiplantae; Streptophyta; Magnoliopsida; Solanales; Solanaceae. The record is from RNAcentral.